RNAcentral lists this ribosomal RNA (465 nucleotides) under uncultured bacterium. RNAcentral describes it as "partial 16S ribosomal RNA". It matches the Rfam family "Bacterial small subunit ribosomal RNA", at positions 338 to 795 of the family's 1533-position model. The record is from RNAcentral.
CCUACGGGUGGCUGCAGUGGGGAAUUUUGCGCAAUGCUCGUAAGAGUGACGCAGCGACGCCGCGUGAAUGACGCAGGCCUUCGGGUCGUAAAGCUCUUUCGACAGGGAAGAAAAUGCCUAUAAGUAACUGUGUAUGUAUUGACGGUACCUGUAUAAGCAGCCCCGGCUAACUCCGUGCCAGCAGCUGCGGGAAUCCGGAGGGGGCGAGCGUGAUUCGGAGUGACUGGGCGUAAAGAGCACGUAGGCGGUGUUGUAAAUCAUUAGGCAAAGACUAGGGCUCAACUUGAGUAAGGCUGGUGAUACUAUAAUACUAGAGUAUCAGAGAGGAUUGCAGAAUUCCUGGUGUAGCGGUGAAAUGCGUAGAUAUCAGGAGGAAUACCGUUAGCGAAGGCGGCAAUCUGGCUGGAAACUGACGCUGAGGUGCGAAAGCGUGGGUAGCAAACAGGAUUAGAUACCCGUGUAGUC